RNAcentral lists this ribosomal RNA (130 nucleotides) under Periophthalmus magnuspinnatus. Lineage: Eukaryota; Metazoa; Chordata; Actinopteri; Gobiiformes; Gobiidae. The record is from RNAcentral.
CAGUGUGCCCUCUAGUGUUUAAAUGUACAAACUAAAUAUCUCUACCUCCCAGGAUCCAGGUCUCUAAGCAGAGCCAGACCUGGUCCGUACUUGGAUGGGAGACCACUGGGAAUACCAGGUGCCACAGUGG